AUCCAGAAUAUCAACCCCAAUUUGAAUAAGGUGACCUUCAACAAAAAUAUAAAGAGUCCUCAACCAAUGAUCCCUAAUGCUAGCAAGAGAGGAGGAAGAAUUCCCAAAAGCUUUCUGAUUUCUCUGCCUUCAUAUGACCCAAAAAUAGACAGGGAAUGAUUGAGGUGAUCUUCUAUCUGGACAUGGAAGCCCCAAUAACAUUCUCUCAUGCCCAAGGUUCACCUUUGAAAUUCCUACUUCUGAUUUUUUUAUUAGUUUAAUAUUCAUGAUCGUUUGAAUUUGAGUUACCUUAAUUCAAGAAAUUCAAGAUAGGGGGAGAUAACUCAAAGACAAUAAAUCAUAUUCUAAUUAGAAUUAGAGAUUAGCCAGUAGUUAAUGGAAAAUGAAGCAAACAAUACCAUAUAUGUAUUCUCACAAAGAAAAAUUGCAGAAUAAAGUUUUACCUGUAAAAAUUGAAACCCAGUAAUUAAUCCACGUGCAUCAAUGUUCUUAUAUGUUAUAUGCUGCAGAUCAAGAAUGCCAAUCAAUUUUUCAUUUCCUAUUUCUCUUCCUUUAAAGGAGCUGAAAUAGGCAACAACAAACACCUCAUUUAAGAUGAACCCGUAUCUCUUUACCAUAAAGCAUACCUAGACAAAAUAAGUAGGCAGAUGUCAAGAAGAUCCCAGUUUAUUAAGAUCACUGGAUCAUCUCUUGGAUUAUUCACCAAGAAUGUAAAACUUUUCAAAGCAAUCCAUCUAGUUUUCCAAUAUGACCCUCUAGUUUGCGAAGGAAAAUUUUUGGCUCCUGAUCCCUCCCUACCUUUUCAAACACUAUAUCUCUGAGCCUGCAACUGCAUUCAAGCAGAUGUUCAUUCAUUCGUAAGAUUCUGAAGCAUUACCUGGUCAUUUUCCUCUUCCAGUAAAUUCCAAGGCCCCUCUUUUGCCUUUUCAUUUCUUUGAUACAUAAGUUAAGCUUCAAAAUUUUUUUGGAUAUCCCAUCCUCAUCAUUCAAAGAUUACAAUCACCAUUAUAUUGAUUUGACAUAGAUACAAGAUAUGGAGUCACUCAGAAGGUGCAAAUAGUUGACAAGGGUCAUUGCCAGGGCAGAAUUAAAGACUUCGAAAUUGUUUUGGUUAACCUAUUGGGCUUUUGCUUACGUUUCUUUUCUUUUAUCUUUCAGUCAUAAAUUAUGCCC
RNAcentral lists this long non-coding RNA (1173 nucleotides) under Carica papaya (papaya). Its description in RNAcentral is "long non-coding RNA (CPAP_LNC012737)". Lineage: Eukaryota; Viridiplantae; Streptophyta; Magnoliopsida; Brassicales; Caricaceae. The record is from RNAcentral.